Molecule: RNase P RNA, 346 nt
Filed under: Pseudobutyrivibrio sp. OR37
Lineage: Bacteria; Bacillati; Bacillota; Clostridia; Lachnospirales; Lachnospiraceae
Description: Bacterial RNase P class A
Rfam family: Bacterial RNase P class A
About the family: Ribonuclease P (RNase P) is a ubiquitous endoribonuclease, found in archaea, bacteria and eukarya as well as chloroplasts and mitochondria.
Source: RNAcentral
GGGGCUAGAUGAGUAGUCGCUGCCCUGUUGUAAUGGCAGGGGAGAGGAAAGUCCGGGCUUCACGGGGCAAGGAUGCCAGCUAACGGCUGGUGGAGGUAACUCCAAGGAUAGUGCAACAGAAAUAUACCGCUCAUAGCAAUAUGAGUAAGGGUGGAAAGGCGGUGUAAGAGACCACCGUACUGUUGGUAACAACGGUAGCCAUGUAAACCCCAUCCGAAGCAAGUUCUAAGCGGUGCGUACGCGGCCCGCCAGCACCAGGUUGAACGCUUGAGGCCAUUGGCGACAGUGGUCCUAGAUAGAUGACUACUUUAAAAGACAUAACCCGGCUCACAGUCUAACCCUUUUA